This 253-nucleotide ribosomal RNA is filed under the name uncultured bacterium. RNAcentral describes it as "partial 16S ribosomal RNA". It matches the Rfam family "Bacterial small subunit ribosomal RNA", at positions 524 to 776 of the family's 1533-position model. The record is from RNAcentral.
GACAGAGGGUGCGAACGUUGCUCGGAAUUACUGGGCGUAAAGCGCGUGUAGGCGGACCGACAAGUCAGGUGUGAAAUCCCCGGGCUCAACCCGGGAACUGCACUUGAAACUAGCGGCCUUGAGUGCCGGAGAGGGUGGCGGAAUUCCUGGUGUAGAGGUGAAAUUCGUAGAUAUCAGGAGGAACACCGGUGGCGAAGGCGGCCACCUGGACGGCUACUGACGCUGAGACGCGAAAGCGUGGGGAGCAAACAGG